AUUGAACGCUGGUGGCGUGCUUUACACAUGCAAGUCGGACGAGUGGCGAACGGGUGAGUAACGCAUCGGAACGUACCGAGUAAUGGGGGAUAAAUGUCCGAAAGGACAGCUAAUACCGCAUAUUAUUCGAGCGGCCGAUGUCUGAUUAGCGGGUUGGCGGGGUAAAGGCCCACCACGGCGACGAUCAGUAGCGGGUCUGAGAGGCUGGUCCGACACACUGGGACGUAGACACGGCCCAGACUCCUACGGUAGGCAGCAGUGGGGAAUUUGGGACAAUGGGCGCAAGCCUGAUCAUGCCAUGCCGCGUGUCUGAAGAAGGCCUUCGGGUUGUAAAGGACUUUUGUCAGGGAAGCGGUACCUGAAGAAUAAGCACCGGCUAACUACGUGCCAGCAGCCGCGGUAAUUC
Molecule: ribosomal RNA, 406 nt
Filed under: uncultured bacterium
Lineage: Bacteria
Description: partial 16S ribosomal RNA
Rfam family: Bacterial small subunit ribosomal RNA
Source: RNAcentral